Molecule: small nuclear RNA, 107 nt
Organism: Pipistrellus kuhlii (Kuhl's pipistrelle)
Lineage: Eukaryota; Metazoa; Chordata; Mammalia; Chiroptera; Vespertilionidae
Source: RefSeq, a predicted model, not a curated record
GCGCUCACUUCAGCAGUACAUACACUAAAAUUGGAACAAUACAGAGAAGAUUAGUAUGGCUCCUGCACAAGGAUGAGAUGUAUGAUAAAAUAAGAAUUCAAAUCAAA